AUUGAACGCUGGCGGCAGGCCUAACACAUGCAAGUCGAACGAGUGGCGGACGGGUGAGUAAUGUCUGGGAAACUGCCCGAUGGAGGGGGGUAACUACUGGAAACGGUAGCUAAUACCGCAUACCAUCGGAUGUGCCCAGAUGGGAUUAGCUAGUAGGUGGGGUAACGGCUCACCUAGGCGAAGAUCCCUAGCUGGUCUGAGAGGAUGACCAGCCACCCGGGAAAUGAGCCACGGCCCAGACCCCUACGGGAGGCAUCAGAGGGGAAUAUUGCACAAUGGGCGCAAGCCUGAUGCAGCCAUGCCGCGUGGAUGAAGAAGGCCUUCGGGUUGGAAAGUACUUUCAGCGAGGAGGCGUUACUCGCAGAAGAAGCACCGGCUAACUCCGUGCCAGCAGCCGCGGUAAUAC
Molecule: ribosomal RNA, 406 nt
Filed under: uncultured bacterium
Lineage: Bacteria
Description: partial 16S ribosomal RNA
Rfam family: Bacterial small subunit ribosomal RNA
Source: RNAcentral